This 379-nucleotide small RNA is filed under the name Arabidopsis thaliana (thale cress). RNAcentral describes it as "ATSL262590". Lineage: Eukaryota; Viridiplantae; Streptophyta; Magnoliopsida; Brassicales; Brassicaceae. The record is from RNAcentral.
UUUUUUUUUUUUUGAAAUCCAGGAGGUUCUGGGCCGAAGCCCGUAAUCCUCCCAGACCCGAAACCACAUCAUGUAAUAUUAGUUUCGUCCCAAGCGUCACUCGAACCGAUGACCUCUAAGCUUCGUCUAGAGUCUUUACCAAUUGAGCUAACGACAUUUGGUUCUAAUGUUGCUUUUGAGAGAGAUUGCAAGGAGUUGAUUAAAAUUUUGGAUAUUCUGGAUGAGUGGUGGCAUUUGCUUCAGAAUUAGAAGAUUUCACUAUUUUAAUCCUUGGUUUUCCUCAUUUCUCUUUAUCUUUUAUUCCACUUUUAAACAAUGUCCGUACAGAUUCUCUCGAUGGAAUACAAGAUCACGUGAUUCUAUAUUUUUCCAUUUAAAC